Ricinus communis (castor bean) is the source of this 1472-nucleotide RNA transcript. It is a transcript of the gene named protein sym-1, with no coding region annotated. The transcript has 9 exons. The record is from RefSeq and is a predicted model, not a curated record. Lineage: Eukaryota; Viridiplantae; Streptophyta; Magnoliopsida; Malpighiales; Euphorbiaceae.
UUGAGAGAAAAAGAAUUUAUAAUUGGCAGUGUCAGCCGAGCCAACAUAACCUACCCAGAUAAAAGUAUACCUCCCUCGCGCUCUUAAACCUCUUCAAAGCCCGUAGAAAAAACAAAGAAAGAAAGAAAAUGGCAUCUCUCACCCUCAAAUCCCCUUUCUUCUGCCGUGUCUUGAGUUUUUCUCGCCAACCUACGUCCCAUUUUGUUCCAAAGUCUCAACUGUCCUUCAUUCCUAGUCAAAUAACUGGGUUUAGGGCAGCCUGUUCUUCCUGCACUGCUUAUUCGUAUCCCUUAAAUUCUACUCAAGGGACUGUGCUUAAGGAUUUUGGACGUUCUAAAUUCGGAUGCCAACUGAAUUCUGGUCGGUUUUAUGUUUCGGUUGUUCCAAAUGGUGGUUCAGGUGGCGGUGCUGGUGGCCAUGGGAAUUUUGGGGGCAGGGGUGAAGGUGGCGGUGGCAGUGGCAGUGGCGGCAGCAGUGAUGGUUCUGGGGGAAAUAACUGGUCCUUUCUUUCUUGGUAUAUGACUCUUCUUGGUAAGUAUCCUGUGUUGACAAAAGCUCUGACAGCUGCAGUUUUGACUUUGAUUGGGGAUUUGGUCUGCCAGCUUGUGAUCGAUCAAGUUCAAUCUCUAGACAUAAAAAGGACAUUUCUGUUCACUUUCUUGGGAUUGAUACUAGUGGGUCCCACAUUGCAUUUCUGGUAUUUAUAUCUGAGUAAAGUGGUAACACUGACUGGAGCAUCUGGUGCAUCCCUGCGCCUUCUACUUGAUCAGUUUCUUUUUUCUCCUAUCUUCAUUGGAGUUUUCUUGGCUGCAUUGGUUGCACUAGAAGGAAGGCCUGAGCAAGUUAUACCCAAACUUCAACAGGAGUGGUUUUCUGCUGUUCUUGCAAAUUGGCAAUUAUGGAUACCUUUUCAAUUUCUAAAUUUCCGAUUUGUUCCACAGCAAUUUCAGGUUCUUGCUGCUAAUGGUAUUGCUUUAGUUUGGAAUGUAAUUCUCUCAUUCAAAGCUCACAAAGAGAUUCUACCAAAAUAGGUAUAUCAGGUAGGUUUAGGGGGGAAUGGCAAUAUUUGCCCCAUGAGGAUUCGGUAUGGGCUGGUGUUGGGCAAUGUGCGCAUAAUGCCAUCCUCUCGCCUAUUACUAGCUCUAUUCAAGGUUGAUCAUGCUGAUUGUGCAAGUUAGCGCAACUGAACAGCUCAUUGGACUUAACUGCUGCCACGUUAUGGUUCAGGGGAGACCCGAGUAACAACCACCCAGUUAUGGUGCUCAUUAAAUAGUUUUGUCAGCAAGAAGGGAUAUCACUCGACAAGCGGUUACUAUGUAAUUGUUUUUUUUUUUGUUCUUUCAAUAUCGUUGUGUAACUUGCAGGAAUUUGGUGGCUGAACUUAGAUAUGAACAUGAUGGAUGGGAUCAAUUCUAUACUUGUGAUGCUCACUCACCCCUACAUUUUGUACUUAAUGGCUUCUUUUUUCCCCC